Non-coding RNA from Rattus norvegicus (Norway rat), 1471 nucleotides. Lineage: Eukaryota; Metazoa; Chordata; Mammalia; Rodentia; Muridae. The record is from RefSeq and is a predicted model, not a curated record.
CAGUGGUUAUGAAUCACCUGCAUCUCCCAAACGACCCAGUGAAAAUGCGCAAGGACUCAUUAAUCCAUUAUUUACUCUUUUCCUGGUGGAGCUAGACCGAUGAAGCAGCUGCCUCCAUAAGAAGAAGCCUGCAGAAGUCAAUUAAGGUCUUCCGUCUAAGGUUCCAGCUACAAGCCCAUCUUCCACUGUGUUCAAAUCUAAAGGAACUCCCAAGAGCCUGCUGUCUAAUGCGAAUUAGCCCAUCCUUGACUUCGUGACUGAAUCAUCUACAUCACCGGCAAACAUCUAAAAAUUGCAUUUGUAAUAAUAUUUUAUUUAAAAACUAUAAAGUGUUAAGAUUAGGGAUAGAGGGAUGGCUCAGUGGUUAAGAGAGCUUUCCUCUUCCUGGAGACCAAAUUUCAGCUCCUAACUUCUAUUCUGGACAACUCACAACCAGUGAGGUUUUCCUGGACCUUUGUGAACCACAGACAGACCCUCCUGUCUCAUUUACUGAAAGGGCAAAUGGGAGGGUGCAUAGAAAUACUCUGAACAACAUAACAUCGGAACAGCAAAACAUGUAGCUCUUUACAGAGAUUUAAGUGCAGCUCCUCCUCCUCCUUGAGAGGACCUCAGCCGGCCCCACUUGCGUAUGCAAUACCACCCCCACCCUCCCCCAUCUUAAGACCCAUGUUUAAACCAGUGUUAAAACAUCUUAUUAAUAAACCCCAGUACUGCUUCAAAUCCAUCCUGACAGUCUUUCCUGUCUUGCAGUCAAGAAGCCUGGCUUCACAAGAGUAGAGGUCACUGCAGUAUUCCAGAGGCUGGGCUCAUGUGGCAUGGACCUGGGUCUCUGGCUCCUGUUAAGGCUGACAAAGCUGGGUUUAGUCUCUAAGGGGAUUUACAAUAGGGAUCUACAGCAGACAUAAAUCAUGGAAUACACACAAGAUACUUUAAAUAAUAACAGUAAAUAUUUGUAUUGCUAUGGCAAUAUAAGCUUAAUACUGUUGGUUUUGCAUAGAAACUAGCUUCCCUGGUCAUAUAAAUUCUGGUGACUCUUCCGUACAGACUAAGUUGGGUUUUUGUUUGUUUUUUUGUUUUUUCCCCUGGUCAGUCAAUUUUUCUUUGAAACUUUGAAAAAAGGCGUGAAGAAAAAAAUGCAGUAGAUUUCCUUUAUAAAAUCAAAGACUAGUUGCACUAUCUCCCUUUGUCUGUUACCUGAAACUCUUCAUUUGAAAAGGAAUCUAGUUUAAACAUGGUCAAAGUUAUUGAAUAGCCCAACUUAAAAUAAAAAUAAUAAAACCUUAGCCCAUUAUUGAUGGAAGUUCAUGAACCUUGGCAAAACUCUUGUUGACCUAUACAAAUGUCAAGCUUAUUAGGAACCCAAACCAGUUGAGACUCACAGUUCCAUGUAAAGAUUUCAAAAAGCUCAACAAAUAAACAUCAUUUGUGCAACAGAGGUAUUUGAUCCUUACCUGUUGCUAAGAUUUCCCAU